GGUGGCGGUCCUUGGAGC
Molecule: small nuclear RNA, 18 nt
Filed under: Arabidopsis thaliana (thale cress)
Lineage: Eukaryota; Viridiplantae; Streptophyta; Magnoliopsida; Brassicales; Brassicaceae
Description: snRNA_16646
Source: RNAcentral